CUAACUAAAGCAUUUACUAGUCCAAGUAUAGGCGAUAGAAAAGACACCACCGGAGCGAUAGAGACUACGUACCGUAAGGGAAAGAUGAAAUAACAAUGAAACAAGACAAGCUAAAAACAGCAAAGAUCAACCCUUGUACCUUUUGCAUCAUGGUCUAGCAAGAAAAACCAAGCAAAAUGAAUUUAAGUUUGCCUCCCCGAAACCCAAGCGAGCUACUUGCGAGCAGCUAUUAUUGAGCGAACCCGUCUCUGUGGCAAAAGAGUGGGAUGACUUGCUAGUAGAGGUGAAAAGCCAAUCGAGCUGGGUGAUAGCUGGUUGCCUGUGAAACGAAUCUAAGUUCACUCUUAAUUCUUCUCCAAGGAACAUCCAAACCCUAAUGAAACGAAUUAAGGGCUAUUUAAAGGAGGUACAGCUCCUUUAAAAAAGAAUACAAUCUCUACGAGCGGAUAAAUAACCCYCCCCCCCAACUCCUGUGGGCCCUCAAGCAUCAACAAAGAGUGCGUUAAAGCUCUAUAUCCCAAAAAUAUAUAAACCACAUGAAUCCCUCCCCACUAACAGGCUAACCUAUAAAACAAUAGGAGAAUUAAUGCUAGAAUGAGUAACUAGGGUCCUCCCUCUUCGACGCAAGCUUACAUCAGUACAUUAUUAACAAACCCCCAUAUACGA
RNAcentral lists this ribosomal RNA (666 nucleotides) under Abroscopus schisticeps. RNAcentral's name for it is "partial 16S ribosomal RNA". It matches the Rfam family "Bacterial large subunit ribosomal RNA", at positions 216 to 1737 of the family's 2925-position model. Lineage: Eukaryota; Metazoa; Chordata; Aves; Passeriformes; Sylviidae. The record is from RNAcentral.